GAUGAACGCUGGCGGCGUGCCUAAUACAUGCAAGUCGAGCGAACAGACGAGGAGCUUUCUCCUCUGACGUUAGCGGCGGACGGGUGAGUAACACUUGGAUAACCUACCUAUAAGACUUGGAUAACUUCGUGAAACCGGCGCUACUACCGGAUAAUAUAUUGAACCGCAUGGUUCAAUAGUGAAAGACGGUUUUGCUGUCACUUAUCGAUGGAUCCGCGCCGCAUUAGCUAGUUGGUAAGGUAACGGCUUACCACGGCAACGAUGCGUAGCCGACCUGUGAGGGUGAUCGGCCAAACUAGAACUGAGACACGGUCCAGAGUCCUAAGGGAGGCAGCAGUAGGACAUAAUGCGAAAUGGGCGAAAGAAUGACGGAGCAACGCCACGAGAGGGAUGAAGGUCUUCGGAUCGUAAAACUCUGUUAUUAGGGAAGAACAAAUGUGUAAGUAAAAAUGAACGUAUUGACGGUACCUAAUCAGAAAGACACGGCUAACUACGAG
RNAcentral lists this ribosomal RNA (497 nucleotides) under uncultured bacterium. RNAcentral's name for it is "partial 16S ribosomal RNA". It matches the Rfam family "Bacterial small subunit ribosomal RNA", at positions 28 to 507 of the family's 1533-position model. The record is from RNAcentral.